This 497-nucleotide ribosomal RNA is filed under the name uncultured bacterium. RNAcentral's name for it is "partial 16S ribosomal RNA". It matches the Rfam family "Bacterial small subunit ribosomal RNA", at positions 28 to 507 of the family's 1533-position model. The record is from RNAcentral.
GAUGAACGCUGGCGGCGUGCCUAAUACAUGCAAGUCGAGCGAACGGACGAGAAGCUUGCUUCUCUGAUUUUAGCGGCGGACGGGUGAGUAACACGUGGAUAACCUCCCUCUAAGACUGGGAUAACUUCGGGAAACCGGAGCUAAUACCGGAUAAUAUUUUUAACCGCAUGGUUCAACAGUGAAAGACGGUCUUGCUGUCACUUAUAGAUGGAUCCGCGCUGCAUUAGCUAGUUGGUAAGGUAACGGCUUACCAAGGCAACGAUGCAUAGCCGACCUGAGAGGGUGAUCGGCCACACUGGAACUGAGACACGGUCCAGACUCCUACGGGAGGCAGCAGUAGGGAAUCUUCCGCAAUGGGCGAAAGCCUGACGGAGCAACGACGCGUGAGUGAUGAAGGUCUUCGGAUCGUAAAACUCUGUUAUUAGGGAAGAACAUAUGUGUAAGUAACUGUGCACAUCUUGACGGUACCUAAUCAGAAAGCCACGGCUAACUACGUG